GACGAACGCUGGCGGCGUGCCUAAUACAUGCAAGUAGAACGCUGAAGGUGGAGCUUGCUCUUCUGGAUGAGUUGCUAACGGGUGAGUAACGCGUAGUUAACCUUCCUGGUAGCGGGGGAUAACUAUUGGUAACGAUAGCUAAUACCGCAUAACAGUAGAUGUUGCAUGUUAUUUGCUUAAAAGGUGCAAUUUCAUCACUACCAGAUGGUCCUGCGUUGUAUUAGCUAGUUGGUGGGGUAACGGCUCACCAAGGCGACGAUACAUAGCCGACCUGAGAGGGUGAUCGGCCACACUGGGACUGAGACACGGCCCAGACUCCUACGGGAGGCAGCAGUAGGGAAUCUUCGGCAAUGGACGGAAGUCUGACCGAGCAACGCCGCGUGAGUGAAGAAGGUUUUCGGAUCGUAAAGCUCUGUUGUAAGAGAAGAACGAGUGUGAGAGUGGAAAGUUCACACUGUGACGGUAUCUUACCAGAAAGGGACGGCUAACUACGUG
Molecule: ribosomal RNA, 495 nt
Filed under: uncultured bacterium
Lineage: Bacteria
Description: partial 16S ribosomal RNA
Rfam family: Bacterial small subunit ribosomal RNA
Source: RNAcentral